This 343-nucleotide unclassified non-coding RNA is filed under the name soil metagenome. RNAcentral describes it as "partial contains 5.8S ribosomal RNA, internal transcribed spacer 2, and large subunit ribosomal RNA". The stretch from base 1 to 120 matches the Rfam family "5.8S ribosomal RNA", at positions 35 to 154 of the family's 154-position model. The record is from RNAcentral.
GAUGAAGAACGUAGCGAAACGCGAUAAGUAAUGUGAAUUGCAGAAUCCAGUGAAUCAUCGAAUCUUUGAACGCGCAUUGCGCCCGCCAGCAUUCUGGCGGGCAUGCCUGUUCGAGCGUCAUUUCAACCCUCGACCUCCCCUUGGGGAGGUCGGCGUUGGGGACCGGCAGCACACCGCCGGCCCUGAAAUGGAGUGGCGGCCCGUCCGCGGCGACCUCUGCGCAGUAAUACAGCUCGCUCCGGGACCCCGACGCGGCCACGCCGUAAAACACCCAACUUCUGAACGUUGACCUCGAAUCAGGUAGGACUACCCGCUGAACUUAAGCAUAUCAAUAAGCGGAGGA